This 483-nucleotide ribosomal RNA is filed under the name Zoogloea sp. S21012. RNAcentral's name for it is "bacterial SSU rRNA". It matches the Rfam family "Bacterial small subunit ribosomal RNA", at positions 30 to 508 of the family's 1533-position model. Lineage: Bacteria; Pseudomonadati; Pseudomonadota; Betaproteobacteria; Rhodocyclales; Zoogloeaceae. The record is from RNAcentral.
AUUGAACGCUGGCGGCAUGCCUUACACAUGCAAGUCGAACGGCAGCGCGGGGCAACCUGGCGGCGAGUGGCGAACGGGUGAGUAAUAUAUCGGAACGUACCCUGGAGUGGGGGAUAACGUAGCGAAAGUUACGCUAAUACCGCAUACGAUCUAAGGAUGAAAGUGGGGGAUCGCAAGACCUCAUGCUCCUGGAGCGGCCGAUAUCUGAUUAGCUAGUUGGUAGGGUAAAAGCCUACCAAGGCAUCGAUCAGUAGCUGGUCUGAGAGGACGACCAGCCACACUGGAACUGAGACACGGUCCAGACUCCUACGGGAGGCAGCAGUGGGGAAUUUUGGACAAUGGGCGCAAGCCUGAUCCAGCAAUGCCGCGUGAGUGAAGAAGGCCUUCGGGUUGUAAAGCUCUUUUGUCAGGGAAGAAACGGUGAGCUCUAAUACAGUUUGCUAAUGACGGUACCUGAAGAAUAAGCACCGGCUAACUACGUGC